GUGGCAUCCUGGCUAUGAUGCCUAGAAUCCCAGAUAUGUUCCUGUUAACAAAGACUACAUUACCCAGAAUCUUUGCUAUGUCCGCCGCAGAAGACUACCCAAGAUUUCACAGCAGCAUCUUUAAAGACUCUAGUACACCACUUCUUCCGUAUGUUUGGCCAAGAAUUAUCCUUGUCGCUUCCUACGCUGAACCAGGGCUAUGAUAGCCAGAAACUUGUGCGUGCUCCUCGAGGACUGUGAUAGGCAAAGUCCUCUGCGUUGUACUAGGCCAGAAACGCAGAAUCCUCAGGAGUCUCUGUGGAGCCACGGCCCAAGAGCUGAACACAGGUGUCAACCCAGCUGAAGGAGUCCUGAAGAGCCAGUGACUGAUCUGGAUAGUAUCUGUCACCUGUGACCAGGGUCUUGGAGUGAGGGGAAGAGAGGCACAACAACACAGGCAGCCAUGUCCCACACCAUUUUGGAACGGCCACUUUCCUUGGGGCUGUGACAGUCUAGAGGAGGAGACAGCUAUUGCCAAGGCACAGGGCCUUGCUUUAAGAUUUACCUGGCUGCUGGGAGUAAGAGGGGCAUAGGAGGCUGGCUAGGGAUCUACCGUGUCCUUUGAGGAGCAGCAAGCUUUGCAUCACUUCAAAGCCCUGAUGAAGGUGCGUGUUUGGUGCAGAAAUCUCGGAAGAAAUACAAGGAGACACAGAAUUCGGAUAAAAUAAUAAAAUUUCUUCUUGCAAGCGGGCAGGAAUGCCAGAAACAGAAAAGUCACCAAGUCAUUCUGCCCCAGCAUCUACACUCAAAAUGGAGAAAACUGCUACUUUACAAAAGGAACCACUCAGUAAAGCACAGUCUAAAAGCCACUGUCUGUGCCAUGAGGAUUCUAGUGGGCAGGAUGCAGCUUCAAAGCCACUGUUCUAUACCAUGGGGAGUCACUCUGGGCAGGGCACAGACUGCUCACCACAGGAGGCCAUGCACAGUUCACCCUCCUCUGAUCACCACGUGGACAAGCCCAGGCCAGCCUGCUGGAUGAUGAAGGAUUCAUGACCCAGCCAUCUUCGCCACUUCAAACAACAGGCAGAAGCAGAGUUCCUACCUGAUCUACAGCUGAGGCAAGGUGACACUGAAGAAUCAUUCAGUUGGUCCCUAGUCUGGAAAGCAACUAUAUAUGAUUACUAAAGCCACUGAGUUUGGAAUGUUGUUGUAACUGAUACGUCUUUUGUUUAUGACUUGUCAUUACUAACAACGCCACAGUUGGUAUGUUUGCACCUCUGAACAGUCUCUGAAUAGGAUAUGUUCCUAGAAGAAACUGCUAGAUCAGGUUUGCGAGAUUUUGGUAAAUAUUGUCAACUGUCUUCCUCAGAACUUAAAGCAAUUAUACUUUCACCAAUAAUAUAAUAGAGGUCUGUUUCCUCACACCUUCUCCAAUUAACCCAGCAUCAAUUUUUUUUUAUCAUUUUUGUCAGUCUUCUUUUUUUGAGGAGGGAUUACUAGGGAUUGAAUCCAAGGAUACUCUACCACUGAACUAUACCCCUAGGCUUUUUUAAAUUUGAUGUGAGAACAGGGUCUCAUUAAUAGUUGUCCAGGCUGCUCUCAAACUCACUACCCUCCUGCCUCCGCUAACUCUGCAUUUCUUUUUUUUUGGUACCAGCAAUCGAACUCGGACCUUGCACUUAUGAGGCAGGUGGCAGAACCACUGAGCUAAAAUCCCUGGCCCAAAUCUGCAUUUCUUUCAUAAUUGCCAUUGACUAUCUUCUCAUAUGAUUGGAAAAAUCAUUGGAUAUCCUUUUAUAUUAUAUUAAUUGUCCUUUAUGUAUAGUGUGUUGUAGUCUAUUAAUUUGUAGAAGCUCCAUCUAGGUUGAGGAAACUAACCUUUUGUCAUCUUUAAAAUAUUUUUUUUGAAAUAGGGUCUUGCUAUGUAGUUCAGGUAGGCCUUGAAUUCAUGGUGAUUCUCCUUCCUCAGCCCCCAGAUUGUGCACCACCACACCUGGCUCUUUAAAUUUAUUUAUUAAAAAAAUUUUUUUUCAGUACUGAGGAUCUAACUCAGGACUUUGUGUUUGUCAGGCAGGUGCAGAGCUACUGAGCUACAUCCCUGGGCCUUUAAAUUUAUUUUUAACUCAUACAUAAAAUAUAAAAAUUAUACAUAUUAAUGAGAUAUUGUGUGAUAUUUUGAUACAUGUAUACAUUGUGUAAUCUAUCUCCUCAAAAGUUUAUCAUUUCUUUAGUUUAAAACAUUCAACUCCUUUCUUCUAGUUUUUUGAAAAAUACAGUGCAUCAGUACUCACCCUACUGUACAAUGGGUGCCAGAACAUCUUGUCCUAUCUAACUGUAACUUAGUAACCACUGGUCAAACUCUUCUCAUUCUUUCUUCUCCCUCCUAUUCCCACAGCCUCUGAUAAACACCAUUCACUCUCAACUUUUAGGAAGCCAACUUUUUUUGUAUUUCACACAUGAUUGUGAUCAUGUGGUAGUUGUAAGUACCUGGCUUAUUCACUUAACAUAACAAUCUCCAGUUCCCUCUUUAUUGUCACAAAUGACAGGGUUUCCUUCUGCUCUGUGGCUCAGUAGCAUUCCGUGGUAUAUAUGUACCACAUUUCUUUAUCCACUCACCAGUUGGACACAUAGGCUGUUUCCAUUUCCUGGUUGUUGUGAACAGUGCUGCAAUAGGCAUGGGAAGGCAGGUGUCUCUUCACAUACUGAUUUCCUUCCUUUGGAUAUAUACUCAGUAGUAGUAUUGCUGGAUCACAUGGCAGUUCCAUUUUCAACUUUAUGAUGAACCUCCAUACUAUUUGCCAUAAUAAUGCUAUUAAUUUAUAUCUCCCCUGAACAGUGUACAAAGGUCUCCUUUUCUGCACAACCUCACCAGCACCUGUUAACUUUUAUCUUUUUAAUGAUGGCGAUUUUAACUGGGGUGAGGUGACAUUUGUGUGAUGAUUUUGUAUCCUGCUACAUUGCUGAAUUUGGUUAUUAUUUCUAGGAGUGUUUUGAUGACAUUUUUUGGGCCUUCUAUGUAAAGGAUCAUAUCUACAGAGUGUUCUACCCUACUGCAACAGAAUACACAUUCUUCUCAGCAGCACAUUGAACUUUCUCAAAAAUAG
Molecule: long non-coding RNA, 3083 nt
Organism: Heterocephalus glaber (naked mole-rat)
Lineage: Eukaryota; Metazoa; Chordata; Mammalia; Rodentia; Bathyergidae
Source: Ensembl